RNA transcript from Colius striatus (speckled mousebird), 12453 nucleotides. It is a transcript of the gene named argonaute RISC catalytic component 3, with no coding region annotated. NCBI's taxonomy places the organism in Eukaryota, Metazoa, Chordata, Aves, Coliiformes, Coliidae. The transcript has 20 exons. The record is from RefSeq and is a predicted model, not a curated record.
GGGCCGCGCCGCCGGCCAGCGCAGCCCCAGCCGGCCGCCGGGCCCAGCUGAGCGGCGGAGCCCGCAGCCCCCAGCGGCUGCACCCAGCUCCAUGAAUGGAAAUCGGCAGCGCAGGACCCGUCGGGGCUCAGCCCCUGCUCAUGGUGCCCAGACGUCCUGGCUAUGGCACCAUGGGCAAACCCAUUAAACUGCUGGCCAACUGCUUCCAAGUUGAAAUCCCAAAGAUUGAUGUUUACCUCUAUGAGGUGGAUAUCAAACCAGAUAAGUGUCCUCGGAGGGUGAACAGGGAGGUGGUGGACUCAAUGGUGCAGCAUUUUAAAGUGACAAUAUUUGGGGACCGUAGACCGGUUUAUGAUGGGAAAAGAAGCCUCUAUACAGCCAAUCCGCUUCCUGUGGCCACUACUGGGGUGGAUUUGGAUGUGACAUUGCCAGGAGAAGGUGGAAAAGAUCGUCCCUUCAAAGUGUCAAUAAAGUUUGUUUCUCGGGUGAGCUGGCACUUGCUGCAUGAAGUUUUGACAGGAAGAACUUUGCCUGAGCCUCUGGAACUAGACAAACCUAUCAGCACUAACCCUGUUCAUGCUGUCGAUGUGGUGCUACGACACCUACCCUCCAUGAAGUAUACCCCUGUGGGCCGCUCCUUUUUCUCUGCUCCAGAAGGCUAUGAUCACCCCUUGGGUGGGGGUAGGGAGGUCUGGUUUGGAUUCCAUCAGUCUGUUCGGCCUGCCAUGUGGAAGAUGAUGCUCAAUAUUGAUGUUUCUGCCACUGCCUUCUACAAAGCACAACCUGUGAUUCAGUUUAUGUGUGAAGUUCUUGACAUUCAUAAUAUUGAUGAACAACCAAGACCUCUGACUGAUUCUCAUCGGGUAAAAUUCACCAAAGAGAUAAAGGGUCUAAAGGUAGAAGUGACUCACUGCGGAACGAUGAGAAGGAAAUACCGUGUCUGUAAUGUAACAAGAAGGCCUGCGAGUCAUCAAACCUUUCCUUUACAGUUAGAAAAUGGCCAGACUGUGGAGAGAACAGUAGCACAGUAUUUCAGAGAGAAAUACAACCUCCAGCUGAAAUACCCUCAUCUUCCUUGCCUGCAAGUGGGACAAGAACAGAAACACACCUACCUGCCUUUAGAAGUCUGUAACAUCGUAGCUGGGCAGCGCUGCAUCAAGAAGCUGACAGACAAUCAGACAUCAACUAUGAUAAAGGCCACAGCGAGAUCUGCUCCAGAUAGACAAGAGGAAAUCAGCAGAUUGGUGAGAAGUGCAAAUUACGAUGCAGACCCGUUUGUCCAAGAGUUCCAGUUCAAGGUCCGGGAUGAGAUGGCCCACGUGACGGGCCGUGUGCUCCCAGCUCCCAUGUUGCAGUACGGAGGACGGAAUCGAACAGUGGCAACCCCAAGCCAUGGGGUUUGGGACAUGAGAGGGAAGCAGUUCCACACUGGUGUUGAGAUCAAAAUGUGGGCUAUAGCAUGCUUUGCAACACAGAGACAGUGCAGAGAAGAAAUACUGAAGGGUUUCACGGACCAGCUGCGCAAGAUCUCCAAGGACGCCGGGAUGCCCAUCCAAGGCCAGCCCUGCUUCUGCAAAUAUGCCCAGGGUGCAGACAGUGUGGAGCCCAUGUUUCGACACCUCAAGAACACUUAUUCAGGGCUUCAGCUCAUCAUUGUCAUCCUGCCAGGGAAAACACCGGUGUAUGCGGAGGUGAAGCGUGUGGGAGACACACUGUUAGGAAUGGCCACACAGUGUGUUCAGGUCAAGAAUGUCAUUAAAACAUCGCCACAGACCCUAUCAAAUCUGUGCCUGAAGAUUAAUGUUAAGCUGGGAGGAAUCAAUAACAUCCUUGUACCUCAUCAAAGACCUUCUGUGUUCCAGCAGCCAGUGAUCUUUUUGGGAGCCGACGUCACUCACCCUCCUGCUGGAGAUGGAAAGAAGCCUUCUAUAGCUGCUGUUGUAGGUAGUAUGGAUGCUCAUCCAAGCCGGUACUGUGCCACAGUCAGAGUUCAGCGACCCCGGCAGGAGAUCAUCCAAGAUUUAGCCUCCAUGGUGAGAGAGCUUCUCAUCCAGUUCUACAAGUCAACACGGUUCAAGCCCACACGGAUCAUCUUCUAUAGAGAUGGGGUCUCUGAAGGACAGUUUCGACAGGUUUUGUAUUAUGAACUGCUAGCCAUCAGAGAAGCCUGCAUCAGUCUGGAGAAAGAUUACCAGCCUGGAAUAACAUAUAUUGUGGUGCAGAAACGACAUCAUACACGAUUGUUCUGUGCUGACAGAACAGAAAGGGUUGGACGAAGCGGCAAUAUUCCAGCUGGAACAACUGUAGAUACAGACAUUACACAUCCAUAUGAGUUUGAUUUUUACCUCUGUAGCCAUGCUGGAAUACAGGGUACCAGCCGUCCCUCACACUAUCAUGUUUUGUGGGAUGAUAACUGUUUUACUGCAGAUGAACUUCAACUGCUGACUUACCAGCUCUGCCACACCUACGUGCGCUGCACACGAUCGGUUUCUAUACCUGCACCAGCGUAUUACGCUCACCUGGUAGCAUUCAGAGCACGAUACCAUCUUGUGGAUAAAGAACAUGACAGUGCUGAAGGAAGCCAUGUUUCAGGGCAAAGCAAUGGGAGAGAUCCACAGGCCCUCGCGAAGGCUGUACAGAUUCACCAAGACACCUUACGCACGAUGUACUUCGCUUAAGUCAAUAGAACAGGAGCAUACUCACUGAAAGGAAGAACUGAGAAACUAAGCCACAUACAAUUGCAAUAAGCGUUCUAAAGGAAAACUGUGUCCAUUGAGCUCUCCUAAAGCAGUGUUUGUACCACUAACCGUGGAAGAAUGGACACCUCCAUGAUUUUCAAAGGACAGAGUUAAAAGCCUUAAUUUUGAAAGGAAAGUUUUAUAGUCAGAAGGAAUCUUGAAUUUUCCUUUUUAAAUCAACAAAAAACAAAAAGCAAGGAUGCUUCUAGAGUCGUGCAAGCUUUACUUGUCACUGCAGUGUUUUGGUUUAACGAAGGAAUUGGCCGUAUUUCUGGCUGUGAGAUGUGGAGGAUAUUUGAAUUAAAAGCGAAGGGUUUUUUAUUAAGAUCUAAGUUUUUACAUGCUUAGUUGAAUCUAUUUGACAUCAGUGAAAUGUCUGGAAUUAAUACAAGUUUUUAGGCUUUUUUCCUCUUUGAUAAUGACUUUCCUUUUAAAAUUAAGUUAUUGGUAACUUCAUUUCACUUUGCAAAUAAAGAGGGCUGGGAUAGUUCUAACCUGUUAAAUGACUGAAAUGUGAAACAAGUCAAUGGGACUCUUUCAUUCCAUUUUAAAUUGAAACCAAUGUUUAAGAUGUCAGAGACGAGCAUUUAUUCAUCGAGGGGACUGGGGAGUUUUGCACUUUGUAAACUCGUGAACUGCAUUUUUGACUGUUUUUAUUUGCACUGGUUCAUAGUAUAUAUACUGCAGAUCGUUUGUAUGGGCAUUGCUGUUAUCCCAGUCCUUCGGAACUCCACCUGCUCUCCACAUGAAAACCAGUGGGUUGGUUUAAGUAGCUAUCUCCUGUUGUUCUCAUGAAAUCCUCUGUUUGCCAAUAUACUGUGUUUUGAGCCUAAAAUCUGAGCCCUUUUGGCAUCAACAGGCAUGAAACGCCCCCAUUGUAUUUUUUUUCUGCCAGAAAACAAAGUACUGUAUUUUGUGCAUUUGUAUGUUGUGCUGUUCACAACACUGUCUCAAAGCUUUACUAAACUCCUAGUGUAUGUAAGUAUUUUUAUCUCCCAGUAUUGAGGAAGAUAAUUUAAAAUGACUAACUCUGCAAAGUUACAGUUGCACUGGAAAUAGUCACAACGGUGGGUGCUUGGCUUGGGGGUCCCUGGAGGGGUGGUGAGAGAAGGAUCAAGGUGACCUGUCCAAGUGUCUCCAGGCUCCUGGGAGCCACAUGCCCUGGGCAGCUCACCCACAGGGCCUGGCCCAGCUGGGCUCAUUGACUCCUCAAGGCACUUGCCUUUGGAUCAGCCUUCAGAUCAGCUGCAGGGAGGUUGUUGUCACUAAAUAAUUUGAGUGAGGCGAUUUCUGAAUAAGUCUCUCAAGUAUCUGUCUUGGUCUGUGGCCUCUGUAGCACUGCAGCUCGUAGUUCUGUUUAUAAAAGGUUCAGGUUAGGCUUUUUACAGAAAACUGUUUUAAAAUAGAGAAGUUUUUUUAAAAAGAGGUAUUUUACAAAGACUUCUUGUGGAUUUAUGGUGUUUAGAUGAAAAUUCCUUUGUAAAAAGGCCUUUUAACACUCCUUUCAAAGACACUGCACACUUCUCAUCCUGCCCAAGCUCGGUGACUAUGAUUUGAGAAGCUUUUUUCACCUGUUACUUUCACUCCCCAAAAAACUCCAUUGAGAAAGUGACUUCAAUUUCUUGUCAAGCUAGCAUUUUACCUGGUUUUCAUGUGAAGAGUAUUUGGAUGUUUUAAUCUCUCUUCUUGGUUUUGCAAAUAUCUACGUCAAGUGCCGAUACUUAUUUGUAUUAUGAUAUCAAGUUCCUGGCGUUGUGAGGGCCACACAUUUAUGAUGCUGUAGCUGCUAUAUUUAUUUAAAUGGAGAUGGACAAUUACUGCACUAAGGAAUGAGGAGAUAAGCAAGGAAUCAAGGUUAGAUAUCUUGUGGUUUGGUUGGUUUAGGUUGGUUUUUGUUUUUUUUCAGAAGAGAAUUAAUGGUGUGAAAUAUCAAGUGUAACAAAGGGUGCUGUCCUUUUAACUGAGAUUAAAUAGCCAGAUAUUCUUCCUUUGUUUAAAAACAUAUAUAUUUUGAUGUUUGCAGUUUGGGGGUGGGGGGUUGGGAUAAAUGGUACCUCAUCUGUGGUGGCAGUUUCCAGUAUAUUUUCAGAGUAUAUGGAUUUCUUUUAUUUUUGUACCUGCUCUCCUUUAAAAAGAAGAAAAGAAAAAAAAAAAGAAUCUCAAAUUUUAUGUGCUGUUGGGGGAAAUCUUGGGUGGCAAACCAGAUCCCCCCCUCUCUUGCUGGGAGCUGUCUGUAUAUAGUCCAAAGAGUGACAUGGGCAAAGGCUGACAGUUCUAUUCACUUUGCAGACACACUGGGCCUCGUUUUUAUGCCUGUCAAAAAAUAAAACCCUAGUUCCUAUCUCCUAAGACACUGCACCAAGACCUCACUUGUGCUUAACAAGUGCCACUAAUUGCUUCCGUGGUGGGAGCCACGUGAGGGCCCCAGCACCGGAGCAGCCUGAGGGUACAGGCCCCACGGGUGCUCCCGGGCCUGGCGCCAGUGCUUCUCGUAGCCUAACAAAACCCUGCCCAAACCUGCCAUCUGGCGACCAGCAGGUCCAGAUUUGGAGAGAAGCAAGAGUGUUUUGUAAUUGAGGAGUUACAUUUGCAACAUCUGCUAAGAGAAUGGCAUGACUCCACUCUAAGUAGCUGGGCUUUUUUUGUCCCCCUCGGUAGGGCACUGAAGUGGUGGCCAUUUUACUCAGGAUCGCUGUAUCGCUGUGUGACGUCUGGUUAAACAAGUCCGAAAGUCAUUUCUGUGUAGGGUUCUUUCUGGCAUCCUUUUGGAAGUUUGUUUGGCCACAGAAAUAGUUUUUUUGGGAAUAACAAUAGGGUUCUGAAAGUUGUCAGUCAGAUUAUUUCAAGAUGCUAUUGGUCCUAAAUGAGUUUCACUUCAUGUGGGUGGUUUUUUGUCCUGUACAGUGCUCAAAAUAAGAUACCGGAUAGUCAUCUUCUGUACAAAUUCCAGCUACUAAUCCUUGUUUUCUACUAGUCUUGAAGUCCACUCUGGUGAAAUUCCAAGCUCAGCCUACACUUUAAAAAGCUUGAGGCUUUUUGGUUUUUUUAACACAUUUUAUUCAUAUCUUGUCCUCUUUUGAUAUUUUCCCUGUUUUGUGAACUGAGGGUUUAGAACCUUACUCAAAGCACUUUUCUAACCAAGGAAUCAAAAGCUCAGACUGUGUACAUUGAAAUUGUAAACUGAGUUUUCAGAGACUGCUGUUUGAGAAUGGCCAUCUUGGUCUCUGGUCACGCCAGGCAGAUACUUUUUUGUCCCUUUCAGUGCUGGGGAGCUUUGUGGUUGCUACUGGCAGGUUGAUUGGAUCUAUUGGAACAAAAACCUUGUAGGGAUGUCAAAGGGAAAGAUUCCUGUCUGUCUUGUCUACCCAAAGAUGGUACUUUGAUAACUGGGUGUUAGGAUAUCAUUUUUGUUUCAGCACAUGUUUAAAUACAACUUCAGCCAGUUCACUUGUCGUUUUUGUUUUUUAAACCUAAAAAGAUAGUGGUUAGAGCUUGAGCUAAUCAAUGCUUUCUGCUGGUAGAAGACUUUGUACUUUCAGUAGUUGAGGUAUGAACGAGGUGGGUACAGGAUCUGAUGUUUUACCUCCUUAGCAGAGUCUCAAGAAUCCUGAUCUCCGUGACACUAAAAACCAAAUUGUCCCUGAGUAAGCGAAGGUGCAUAUGGAGGGGAAGGAAAAUACUGAAGUGUCAGUCUUACAGAAACAAGGGUGUUGGAGAGGCUCCAUCCACUUUCCAUCCCACAUGGCCUGGCCUUUUCAGAUCUCACCUGAGGUACCCCCUCACCUGACACGGGUAGUUAACAUAGGGUACUUUUAAAACAAAUCAGUUCUACUGUUUAAACUUGGAGGGAUUUUUAUUUUUUUUAAGCAAGACAGUCCUCAGAAAGUGCCUUUUUAGAAGAUGGUGCUGUAGAUUUUUAUUUUCCAGUUGUAUGUGGCUGAAAAUUUAAGAUAAAUUAUUGAAAAUGCCAAGUGUUUGAUCGUAUCUUUCAGGUACUUUCAAGCAUCAGCUUCUCUGAGUCAGGACCAAGAAUAACCAGGAAGGUGUUUUCAUUUGGAGGGAGAGGCAUUGAGGAGCGAUCACCAAAUUCAGCUGGUAGGCUGGAAUUGGGUUUGAUUUAGUCAAUGCAAUUUACCUCUUCACAUUGAGGAGGUACAUGGGUUGGGGGAUGGGGUGUAGGAGAAGCGACAGCAUGGGACUCAUGGGGUGAUGUAGUUAGUGCUGGAAGGGAAUCCAUAGCUACAGAAGGAUGUCAUCUCUUAGGUGUAGCAAGCUCCCAAAGGUGAAGUAAACAACCUGAGAGCUGUCUGAAGACUUAGGAAGAUGGUCAGUCCUGCUGUGAGCAGACCUCAGGUGGCUUGUGUGGUUAAAGGAGUCAUGUGCAUGUAAGGAUGGGACUUUCUGAUUCCUAGCUGGGAGUUGUGGUACUUUGAUGGGCAGAGCUUGGUAAGGCAUGGGACGUGCCCAGCUCUGAUGGCUGAAGGCAGCUGUGGGUCUGUAGUGAGUUUGGUGAGCAUUCCUCCAGGCAGGAAAAGCUAUAGACUAGACUAUUAAACACUGCACCUCAGUAACCUUGUAAUGCUGCAUAAAGUAAUAAUAAUAGCAAAGUUCUGCUUUGAUUACACUGUAAUGUGCUUGCACAUGCCUGCAAAAAAAAUACACACUUUGGUUUUUGUAACGGUCUUAAUAGCAGUUAUCAGACUUUUCUGUUGUGAUGAACCUUGUCCUUUAUUGUGGUGUCUCUGUAUAUUUAUUGGUGAUCUGUGUGCAGCUCAUAGGUCUGUGUGUCUGGUCUGUAUGUUGCUUUUAACAGUUAAUUUUUUUGAGGUGGGAGAAGUGUUCUGAACGUUUUGUUUGUUCUUCUCCGGAGUCAGCCUAACCUAGUCACGUUUGAGAGGAGAUUGAAUAAAACCUGCUUUGAUAGACAGACUACUUUAAUUGGUACCUUGUUUCUUGAAAACUUAAAAUGACUUUGUGUUCAUUUUAUUGCUGUUCACACAGUAUUGGGCAUUUCAGAUGUAGAAUAACUUGAUGUCAGGAUCACUUUUGUUUUAUAUCAGGAGCCUAAGCGCAAAACUCCCACUUGAGUUGCAAGUGGAACCUUUGCAGGAAUAUAUUCACGUCCAGACUCUUUUUUCUAGGAGUAAGCAGAGCUUUUUUGACAUCUAUUAAUUUGGACAGGAUCAAUAUUUAGGGUACACAGUCCCAGAGUGGGCACUGACUCCUGUUUGGAGUUGCCCACCCCUCUGUGUUGGGAGGGACGCUGUCAGGUCGAUGUGCAGCGUAGCUCUCUGCUUGUGCUACCCACAGAGACUACGAAUCGAGGAACUUUUUGCUGUGUAGAUUUCUUCUGAUUCAAGUUAGAGAAAUGAUGUUUCUUGUAGUUUGUUACCGACUUUCUUGUCUUAUUACAGUGCCCAGUGCCACCUUGGUGGUAUUUAAGCUUGCAAGGAUGUUGAAUUAUUUUGUAUUCCCAAUUUGUUAAUGUUAUUGGGCGAGGAUUUAGAAAGCUUUUUGUUUCAGUCUAAAUUCUGAGCCAAAACUGUCUCUUUUAUCCCUUUUAGUAGUAGGUGUUUUUAUCUUUUAGACUAAAAAAGGGCCAAAAAUCUUGUACCAUCAGCUUGUUUGCAGCAAUACUCUCCAUCCCUUUCCUGUCAACCAGUUUCUUUUCUAUCCAUGUUUAGCUAAUACUGAAGCAGUUGAGUUUUAAGGGGAAGGAAGAGCCUCUUCUUUCUGUCAAAAGAAAUAAAAUGGACGUUCAUCUGACAAUGAUGGUUUCUGUUGGGCACAGAUCUCUUCCUAGAAAUCUUGCCUCGGUGAUGAUGAACUGUAGCAGACAGGGAUUUAAUUACAGUACAAACGUUCUGUGUGUUUCUGUUGCAUUCAUUGGAGGGUGCAUCAUGUCUUAAAGUGAUGUAAAAACAAGCUAAUGAACAACUGGAGAUGUAGACACUAUUACAGUACUUCAAAUGAAGAAAAAACCCACAAACCAAACCAAAUAAAACCAACAACCUAGUGCACAGGGAUAGUUUUAGUUCAUCCUUCUUCCUGGCAAAGUUCGAGCCUGAGGGUUUGCUGUAGUUGAUGCUACUCAUAGUAGAUUGUGCUGGGAUUCAUCCUUAAACUGAACCAACUCAGCUGUGUGCUUUAUGAAGAGGAGAAGUGGUAGUGGUGACUGUGCUGUUAAACCAAUAGUAGAAAGCUCUAAAAACACAGGGAUGAAACUUGUCUUCAUGUUGAAAAAGCUGAAUAUACUCAUGCUGCUAGAGCCUUGUGAACCUGAACCUUUGCAUCCACAGUUUACCCCCAAAGACCCCACAUGACUACUUCAGAAACUUAAUACAUGAGGGCAAAAGCAUGUCCCUGGAUUUUUUCAGUGCCUGUUCACAGAGGGCUGUGCUGAGAAGCAGGUGGCAGUGCCUGUAACAGCUGUGUCAUUACAUCAAACUGUGCUUUAUAUCUAAACCUUGCAGCUACCUGACUGGGUCAAAGCAGAUACAAGUUCCAGUAGAUCGGUGCUAUUUGAAAACAGUGGAGCCAAGGGAGUUUGUGAGCAAUAUCUGACCCCUCCAUAAAACACAGAUGCUCUGAGAGGCUUUUAGUUGCAGUUUUCACCCACUUGAUGUGUGCCUGGCUACCAAGAAAAACAGCAGCAGGCAGUUGUAGAGUUAAUUUUGCUGUAGCACUACAGUUGCUCUGCUCUUCCUCAGCUCUUACCUACCUCCCUGUUCCCUUACACAGGACCACUCUCCCUCUGCUGCCUAUCUAGAAUUGGCCAUAUUCAGCUGUAGCUGUGUGGAAGGUGAAUCAGCUCUGGGUGUGAGGGGGGAGUGGUGUGAUGGUGAUAAAAGCUUCUGUCUGUAGAAAUAAAGGACUGGGUAAGCUGUGGUCAGCUCAGGCCCUUCAGGGAAAUCGAUGGGAACACCAAACGUUAGCUUAGGUGUCCUGAACUGCUUGUGUCAAACUUGAACUCGUUGAGAGCAAGGAUGUGCCUUUUCCUGAUCAAGAACAAAGAAUGAAAAUCUUCUUUGUGUUGGUAGCUUGGUUAGUAUUUUUCUUGGGCUAUUUUUAAAGCUUGAAGUCCUUGGUCAGAAUGGAGUUGGUUUUGUGUUAAAUUGUUUAAUCAAAGUGAGCCCUGAAUUAUUUGAACUACCCAGAGAGAAGAAGGUCUUAAAACAAGUGGUUUCUGGAGAGUAAUGUCAUCAAAUAAACAUACUUCCUGGUAGACUUGCAACUUUUUAACUAAAACUUAACCUUGACAUGUUUAUCUAAAGAGAAUCAUUAAUUCUGCCUUGAUUUGAAUGUUGCCUGUCCAGUAAUGUCCUCACUUGUUACAGUGCUCCUGCAGUUUUCUAUACACUCCAUUGCUUCUUCCCCCUGACCCCCUGUUCGGUGGCUGUUAAGGACAUGAAGAAUGUUGUCUGGUGAAUGUUGGGGAGUGGUGCAGAGGUCUGAUUAAGUGGGAACAUGGAAAUGAGGCUUAAACAUCACAGAUUCUUUAGGAAGCAGUUUGCUGGUAGCUGAAAGCAUUGAUAGUCUCUUGGGUAUGGAAAGAGGUAGUGAAUGGUAUGAGGGGAGAAAAGAUCCCCAUCCUGUGUGCUGUGCCCAAGUAGGUACCUGUGUCCUUAGAUGCUAGUUUGAGCAUAAAGCUGCUAAAAAUGGAUUUUCAGACCAAAAUGGAAGAGCCUUUCAAAUGAGUUCUAUUUUCUGCAGUUUUGAGACGUUCAUAAGUUAUCCAGCCAGGAGCUCUGGGAUCAGUGCUGGCUCUGACCUCGGGUAAAUGAUUCUGCCUUGUUUUUCACCCGAUCUAGAACAUGUUUCUGGUGUUUCACCUCGCCUUAUGAGAGCCAGAUGUUGGGUGUUGUGAGGAUGAACCACGCUGGGGAAGUGCUGACUUCUUCACACAAAGCUGUGCACCUUCUUGCAAGUUUGCAUCUUCAGUUAACACCAUUGUGUUUGGAGUCUGUCUCCUGUCGUGAGCCUGUGCUCUUCGCUUGUAAUUCACCACAGCUCUGCCUGAGGAAGGCCGUGGGAACUGGUCCCAUUACCUGUUGCGUUCUUUUAAGGUAACUAAUCUGUUGCAAAGCAGACAGUCAGAGAGCAAGUUUAUUUAAAUGAAAGGUGUUUUUUUUCAUUGCUGAGAAUUGUAUAGGUCUUCAAACACAUUUGGCAGUUGGAAAUUAAUACCUACUGUAAUACUAUCUAGCAACACAAAGAUAUGAGUAUGUGUUUAGGGUUAUGCUAGCCCACAAAUCAUAGGUCCACAACCUCUUUAAGUACAGGUGAGCAAAACUUAGCUGUUAAAAUAGUUACUAAUAAACCUUAAUUGUGCUUAACACUUGCAGAUCUCCACAUAUAUUCAAAACCAAUUUCUUUGACAGAAAAUCCAUGUCUUACCAGUUAGUGUUCACUCAGACAUCAGUAGCAAAGUAAUACCCACUGGAGCAAUGCUGAACUUCAAAGAACCUUGUGACAUUUGUGAACCUGAUGGUGUGCCAGCAAAGUGGAGGCUUGUAACUGGUGAGGAAAAUUGAACACCAAAAAUACUCGGUGAGAGGAAGGCUGCUAGAGGUCAAGUUUGUCUUCUGACUUCUGGCAACUUUGCAGUGAAGAAUGGCUUCUCUUGGGUACUCGGUUUUGUACAUCACUUUCCUCCUGUGGUUGUAGUUUUUAGUUUUCUUUGGACUUGAUUUCUCCUCUUCAGCAAAAUGUUCUCGUUUCUGCACUUUUCAGUGUUGAAUCUAGCCUUGAGACUACUUAAUGUUGUUUUCCUGCUUCUAGAUAGUUGGUUUGUGUCUGUUUUGCAGGCAGUUGGGAAAAGGCAGCCUCAGCACAGCGAUAGAGUUGACAGAGCAAGAUUUUGGGUUGAGAUGUUGAUUUCUUUCCAGGCUCGUUGCUCAGCCCUUUCUGCCCUGACACUGGUGUACAGCCCCUGCACCUCGUGGGCCAGGUGAUGCACUUUGGGCUCACGGGGUGCAGAUCCUCUGGUCUCUUAUAUUCUUGUUUCUUCCCUUGGUGUAAGCAGUUAAACUUCCCCAGGUAGCCUGUUGGUGGAUAAAUGGUGGUGGUGUUUGUAGUGAGGGGAAAAACUAGGCUGUUUCCGUGGACUGGAAGUGUCUGGUCACAGAGGAGUUUGUCUAUCAACAGGCAUUACAUGAAAGCUUUCACAGUCACUGGUACCAUUCUGUUAUGAGCCAACGUGGGUAUUAAAGUAUCUUCAGGAGCAGGUGGCUCUGGUGGCAUAGUGUGUGCCAUAAACAUUGCUAGUGACCAGCUGUAUUUGUUCAGGAGACUGCUGGAAGCAAUAUUGUGCAUAUAAAUCUUGCCUAUUUAAUACCAUACCUUUGAAUUGAAAUGAAACAAAACUCUUGUGCUGUUUGGGAUUCCUUUUCAGACUAUAAUUCCAAUAAAUCAGUCCAGUGGUUUGAGAUCCCCUCUAUGUGUAUGUCUCACUUUCUCAUAUGCUGGUAACUGCUUCCCUCUCGUUCUGCUGUUCCCGUUGCUGAAGCAGGAGCUUUGAGGGUGUUCCCACCAUGAGGGGGAGGGUUCCAAGCAAGAAGGGAAUGUUUCAAGAAUAAAGCAGAGCUGUGACUUGAGGCGUUGCACAAAUAGAUUGUAGGUGGAUGGCAAGCAAACUGGUAAAAGCCUUUCUUUUUUCCUUAACCAUCUCGACCAUGUGUGCCUAUUUGUAUUGCAGAUGUGGGCUGCAGCCGUG